AAAUAAACAAAUAUUCGCACUCAUAUAAGCCUAAUGAUAGGGAUUAGGCGUUUCUACCAGACAACCGUAAAUUGUCAGGCUAUGGGUUUUUAGGUAGAUUUA
Clostridium tetanomorphum DSM 665 is the source of this 102-nucleotide non-coding RNA. The record is from Rfam. Lineage: Bacteria; Bacillati; Bacillota; Clostridia; Eubacteriales; Clostridiaceae.